CCUACGGGAGGCAGCAGUGGGGAAUAUUGCACAAUGGGGGAAACCCUGAUCCAGCGACGUCGCGUGAGUGAAGAAGUAAUUCGUUGUUUAAAGCUCUAUCAGCAGGGGAGUAAAUGGCGGUACCUGAGUAAUAAGCCCCGGCUAACUACGUGCCAGCAGCCGCGGUAAUACGUAGGGGGCCAGCGUUAUCCGGAUUUACUGGGUGUUAAGGGGGCGUAGACGGGAGUGCAAGUCUGGAGUGAAAGGCUGGGGCUCAACCCCAGGACUGCUAUGGAAACUGUACGGCUGGAGUGCAGGAGAGGUAAGCGGAAUUCGUAGUGUAGCGGUGAAAUGCGUAGAUAUUAGGAGGAACACCAGUGGCGAAGGCGGCUUACUGGACUGUAACUGACGUUGAGGCUCGAAAGCGUGGGGAGCAAACAGGAUUAGAUACCCCGGUAGUC
This 440-nucleotide ribosomal RNA is filed under the name uncultured bacterium. RNAcentral's name for it is "partial 16S ribosomal RNA". It matches the Rfam family "Bacterial small subunit ribosomal RNA", at positions 338 to 795 of the family's 1533-position model. The record is from RNAcentral.